Molecule: ribosomal RNA, 398 nt
Filed under: uncultured bacterium
Lineage: Bacteria
Description: partial 16S ribosomal RNA
Rfam family: Bacterial small subunit ribosomal RNA
Source: RNAcentral
AUACGUAGGGUGCGAGCGCUGUCCGGAAUUACUGGGCGUAAAGAGCUCGUAGGUGGUUUGUCGCGUCGUCUGUGAAAUUCCGGGGCUUAACUCCGGGCGUGCAGGCGAUACGGGCAUAACUUGAGUACUGUAGGGGAGACUGGAAUUCCUGGUGUAGCGGUGAAAUGCGCAGAUAUCAGGAGGAACACCGGUGGCGAAGGCGGGUCUCUGGGCAGUAACUGACGCUGAGGAGCGAAAGCAUGGGUAGCGAACAGGAUUAGAUACCCUGGUAGUCCAUGCCGUAAACGGUGGGCGCUAGGUGUAGGGGUCUUCCACGACUUCUGUGCCGUAGCUAACGCAUUAAGCGCCCCGCCUGGGGAGUACGGCCGCAGGGCUAAAACUCAAAGGAAUUGACGGGG